UGGGGAAUCUUGCACAAUGGGGGCAACCCUGAUGCAGCGACGCCGCGUGAGCGAUGAAGCCCUUCGGGGCGUAAAGCUCUUUCGACCGGAACGAUAAUGACGGUACCGGGAGAAGAAGCUGCGGCUAACUACGUGCCAGCAGCCGCGGUAAUACGUAGGCAGCAAGCGUUGUUCGGAGUUACUGGGCGUAAAGAGUGCGUAAGCGGUUUUCUAAGUUCGGUGUGAAAUCUCCCGGCUUAACUGGGAGGGUGCGCCGAAGACUGGGAAGCUGGAGUGGGGGAAAGGCAGGCGGAAUUCCUGGUGUAGCGGUGAAAUGCGUAGAUAUCAGGAGGAACACCGGCGGUGUAGACGGCUUGCUAGACCAUAACUGACGCUGAGGCACGAAAGCGUGGGUAGCAAACA
This 402-nucleotide ribosomal RNA is filed under the name uncultured bacterium. RNAcentral describes it as "bacterial SSU rRNA". It matches the Rfam family "Bacterial small subunit ribosomal RNA", at positions 355 to 774 of the family's 1533-position model. The record is from RNAcentral.